UAGUCAUAUGCUUGUGUUAAAGAUUAAGCCAUGCAUGCCUAAGUACAGGUAGCAAAACCGAAACUGCGGAUGGCUCAUUACAACAGUUAUUAUUGAAAUAGUGAAUAUUUGGAAGAGUAAAGGUAAUAGGAUGGUGUUUAAACGAUAUCAUCCUUUAUCUUUGGGAAUUCAAAAGUAAAAUAGAUGGAUAACCCUGCUAAUCGUAGAGCUAAUACAUGAAGUCAAGGCUCGAAGGAAAGUGGGAAGCAGACAGACUGAGGGACGGGGAGGGCGGAGAAGAAAAAGUCAGAACCCCCUUUUGACCACCCUGAUCCAAUCAUGGGGCAAUGAGAUGAAGCCCAUGGUGGGAGAGGAUCACACGCCGCGCCCGGCCGAGUAAGUUGCUGGAGCCCACACACCACAGAGCCGCGUUUGUCAGCAAAGCGAGGAAGGAGAGCAAGCGAGGUGUCAUAUCUCUUUUGGAAAGGAUUCGCAAGAGUCUAAUCUGGAGAGGUGUUGAUAGCUCAGCUUGAUAUUAGGAGACGAAGACAUGAGAAUGCAUCGUGGGGAAUCGGGGGGACACAACCUGGCCACAGAUGACAAUGUCAUGAGGAUAAAAACGGACCGUUGGAUGAGUCAAUAUUGGGGAAGAGAAGUGAAAACAAAAAGCCGUUUGUUGAGAUCUUUUUUGAACUUCUUAUUGAUGUUUUUAUUUGAAGGUAACACUUGAGAUAAAGAUAAGAAAAGGGAAGGAAAAGAAAGAAGGAUUCAAAAUGACAAAAGCCAAUGUGACACGACGGGGAAAUGUGAGUCUCCAAGUGAGAUAGGACAAAGGAGCAAAUUGCAAAAGAAAACAAGUCUGUCAAAGGAUUUGUUGGCAAUACACUAGAGAAAUUUCUGACCUAUCAACUAGAUGGUAGGAUAGGGGCCUACCAUGGUUGUCACGGGUAACGAGGAAUUAGGGUUCGAUUUCGGAGAGUUGGCCUGGGAAACGGCGAACACUUCCAAGGAAGGCAGCAGGCGCGUAAAUUACUCGGUGCCAAUACGGCGAGGUAGUAACGACAAAUACCAAUGCCCGACCUCCUGUAACAGGGAGGGGGCAAUUGGAAUGGGUACAAUGUAAAGAUGUGUGCGAGUAACGAUUGGAGGGAAAGUCUGGUGCCAGCAGCCGCGGUAAUUCCAGCUCCAAGAGUGUAUACUAAAGUUGUUGCGGUUAAAAAGCUCGUAGUCGAUAUUAGGAGUUUUUCUCUUUUUCUUCUUUUUUUUCAAAUAACAUUGGAAAAGAGGAUGAGAGGGGAUUUAAUUAUUAAUUUUUAAUGAUUAAGAUUUUGUCUUUUUUCUUUCUCUUUUUUUUGAAUAUUUUCGAAAGAAGAUAUUGAAAAUGAGAGAGAGAGAAGAGGGUAAAAUCAAACUUCUUAAUGUAUUUGGAUUAGUUAUUACAUGAUUUAAAUAUCAAAAAGUAAUAGUAACAUUGAACUCAAUCAAGUAAAGUUGAAGAGAAUCGAUGGAAACUACCAAAUCAAUUACUUUGAAUAAAAUAAAAUGUUCAAAGCAGGUUAAUAGCCAGAAUAAGAUAGCAUAGGAUAAUAAGAAAACAAAGGAAGUUGUGGCCUCCGUUCAGACAAUAGGACAACAGAGCCUGAGUUGACGGGAAUUGGUUUCUCAGGGAUGCUCAUGAUUGAAUGACAACGAAUCCAUGGUUUCAUAUAAUUGGGAUCAAGUUUUUGGAUGAAGGAUUCAAUUUGAGAACAGAAUGAAAGAUCAUUUGAAAUAUAACAAUGUUGUUUCUAGGGGCUCAAAAACAAUUUCCAAAUAAAAUAAAAAGAGUGAUUAAUAGGAACAGUCGGGGUGGUUUAUAUUUAAUAGCGAGAGGUGAAAUUCUAUGAGCUAUUCAAGAUAAACUAAGGCGAAAGCAUUCCACAAGGAUGAAUUCAUUGAUCAAGAACGAAAGUUGGGGGAUCGAAGACGAUCAGAUACCGCCGUAGUCUCAACAGUAAACGAUGCCGACCAGGGAUUGGAGAAAGUCGUAAAGAGUGGACAUGAGAACAUUUAAUUUAAUUAUGAUGUUUUGAUGUCCAUUUUAAAACAACUUUUAAGAUGGGACUUCUUCAGCACCUCAGAGAGAAAUCAAAGAGUGUUUGGGCUUCGGGGGAAGUAUGGUCGCAAGGCUGAAACUUAAAGGAAUUGACGGAAGGGCACUACCAGGAGUGGAGCCUGCGGCUCAAUUUGACUCAACACGGGGAAACUUACCAGGUCCAGACAGUAGGAGGAUAGACAGAUUGAGAGCUCUUUCUUGAUUUGCUGGGUGGUGGUGCAUGGCCGUUCUUAGUUGGUGGUGUGAAUUGUCUGGUCAAUUCCGAUAACGAACGAGACCUUAACAUGAUAAAUAAGUUCAGUCAAGGCGGGGACCCCAUCUUGGGAUUUAGUAAUAAGUCUCGAGAUGGAGUUUCCACUUGACAGAAGAAAUAAUACUUUUUCGAAAGAAGGAGCAUUAUGUGAACUUCUUAAAGGGACUAUUUGCGUAUAUAUAACCAGCGAAUGGAAGUUUGAGGCAAUAACAGGUCUGUGAUGCCCUUUGAUGUCCUGGGCUGCACGCGCGCUACAAUGAUUGAAACAGAGAGCAAAUUUGGUUGGUCACUCGAAAGGACUUGUUUCUUUUGGAUGGCCCGGCCAAUGACCAGGGUUGAAGAAUACUGGGGAAACUUGAGAAAGUCAAUCAUGAUGGGGAUAGAUCAUUGGAAUUAUUGGUCUUGAACGAGGAAUUCCUCGUAAGCACGAGUCAACAGCUCGUGCUGAAUACGUCCCUGCCCUUUGUACACACCGCCCGUCGCUCCUACCGAUUGGAUGAUCCGGUGAAAAUUGUGGAUCUUCUUCCCCCUUUUCCCCUGAAAGGGGGGAUUGGGAUGAAGAGAAAUUAUUUGAACCUUAUUAUCUAGAGGAAGGAGAAGUCGUAACAAGGUAUCC
This 2943-nucleotide ribosomal RNA is filed under the name Mastigamoeba abducta. RNAcentral's name for it is "partial small subunit ribosomal RNA". It matches the Rfam family "Eukaryotic small subunit ribosomal RNA". Lineage: Eukaryota; Evosea; Mastigamoebida; Mastigamoebidae. The record is from RNAcentral.